GACGAACGCUGGCGGCGUGCUUAACACAUGCAAGUCGAACGGAAAGGCCCUGCUUGCAGGGUACUCGAGUGGCGAACGGGUGAGUAACACGUGGGUGAUCUGCCCUUCACUUCGGGAUAAGCCUGGGAAACUGGGUCUAAUACCGGAUAGGAGCCAUUUUUAGUGUGAUGGUUGGAAUGUUUUUUCGGUGUAGGAUGAGCUCGCGGCCUAUCAGCUUGUUGGUGGGGUAAUGGCCUACCAAGGCGGCGACGGGUAGCCGGCCUGAGAGGGUGGACGGCCACAUUGGGACGGAGAUGAGGCCCAGAAGCCGACGGGAGGCAGCAGUGGGGAAGAUUGCACAAUGGGCGCAAGCCUGAGGCAGCGACGACGGGUGGGGGAUGACGGCCUUCGGGUUGUAAACGCCUUUCGCUAGGGACGAAGCUUUUUGUGACGGUACCUAGAUAAGAAGCACCGGCUAACUACGUG
RNAcentral lists this ribosomal RNA (465 nucleotides) under uncultured bacterium. Its description in RNAcentral is "partial 16S ribosomal RNA". It matches the Rfam family "Bacterial small subunit ribosomal RNA", at positions 28 to 507 of the family's 1533-position model. The record is from RNAcentral.